GAACGCACCUUGCGCCCUCUGGUAUUCCGGAGGGCAUGCCUGUUUGAGUGUCAUGUAGACUCAAUCCCUCGGGUUUCCGAGGAGAUUGGACUUGGGUGUUGCCGCUCUGCCGGCUCGCCUUAAAAGACUUAGCGGGAUAGCACCGUAGUCGGCGUAAUAAGUUUCGUCGGUGAAGGUUGUGAUGACUGCUUACAAUCGCCCUCGGGCAAUUUUUGACUCUGACCUCAAAUCAGGUAGGACUACCCGCUGAACUUA
RNAcentral lists this unclassified non-coding RNA (255 nucleotides) under Saitozyma podzolica. RNAcentral describes it as "sequence contains 5.8S rRNA gene". The stretch from base 1 to 53 matches the Rfam family "5.8S ribosomal RNA", at positions 102 to 154 of the family's 154-position model. Lineage: Eukaryota; Fungi; Basidiomycota; Tremellomycetes; Tremellales; Trimorphomycetaceae. The record is from RNAcentral.